GUAGGGAAUUUUCGGCAAUGGGCGAAAGCCUGACCGAGCAACGCCGCGUGAGGGAAGAAGGUCUUCGGAUCGUAAACCUUUGUCUUUGGGGAAGAUAAUGACGGUACCCAAGGAGGAAGCCACGGCUAACUACGUGCCAGCAGCCGCGGUAAUACGUAGGUGGCAAGCGUUGUCCGGAAUUACUGGGCGUAAAGGGCGUGUAGGCGGCCUUUUAAGUCAGACGUGAAAACUGUGGGCUUAACCCACCGACUGCGUUUGAGACUGAAAGGCUUGAGGAUCGGAGAGGGCAGUGGAAUUCCCAGUGUAGCGGUGAAAUGCGUAGAUAUUGGGAAGAACACCAGUGGCGAAGGCGGCUGCCUGGACGACACCUGACGCUGAGGCGCGAAAGCCAGGGGAGCAAACGGGAUUAGAAACCCGUGUAGUCC
Molecule: ribosomal RNA, 425 nt
Filed under: uncultured bacterium
Lineage: Bacteria
Description: bacterial SSU rRNA
Rfam family: Bacterial small subunit ribosomal RNA
Source: RNAcentral